CUACCCCAGGCAGCCUGUUCCAAGGCUUAACCACCCUCUGGGUGAAGAAAUUCCUCCUGGGAUUGUUGCAUUAUAAGCAGUUUAAAGCAUAUUCAGCCUUGUGUGAAGGAAGAGGUAGCAGAUGGAAGCACCCCCACCUCCUUUGCGUGAGACCACGGCUCCUGGCCAAGGUGGGGGGAGAGGCAGGGGAUAGUGCAGCCCCAGCUGUGUCUCCCUAACAGUGUGCAAGACUGCAUGUGCGAGUUUUGGCUUCUCUUGGACCUCUUUCUGUCUUUAAGCAGUGAGUGAUCCCUGUAUGAACACACAUCAGAGGGUUGUGAUCAGUGACAACUGGUCUGGCUGGAGACUGUCGCUAGCUCUGUCUCCCAAGGGUUGAUCCUGUGUCCAGUUUUAACUUACUCAUCAGUGACUUGGAUGAACACUCACAUGCAGACUGGUGGAAAUGCAAGGGUCUUCCCUUUUCCUGAACAUGCUUUCCCAUCCCACUGGUGUUGAACAGGAGAGACUAUGGAGCAACUGCACAGAGGCUGCUCUCCUCUCAUAUUUAGGCAAAGGACUAAGGAGUGACUUGCAUUCCUAUAACCUGUGCGCUCAGCAUAUGGGAUGGGACAAAAUCCUAGUUUAUAGCAGAAAAUUAGAAAAAAAACAUCUUAGUUGUAGGCAGAUUGAAGAUCAUAAGAUCUUUAUAUGAUCUCUGCCCAGAGGGUGGUGAGGCACUGGAGCAGAUUUCCCAGAAAAGUUGUGCAUGCCCCAUCUCUGGGAGUGUUCAAGACCAGGUUGGAUGGAACUCUGAGUAACCUGCUUUUAGAAUUAGAUGAUCUUAAGGUCCCUUUCAACCUGAACCAUUCUCUGUUGAGGUGUAUGUGCCUAAGAACUCUAUUUAGAUCUGUUUCUCUCCUUUUUCAUGAGGAGUAGCAAUGUGGACCUCAUAUGUUGGGGCAUCUACAAAGCCACCCUGACUGUCCUGGUUGCUCCUGCCAUGUGAAAAGGGGGGUGGCCAAAAAUGUACUUAAGAAAAGGAGAGCCCUUUAUGCAGCUUUGCUGGUGUCUCUACAGUAGAUGUUUAAGACUUCUCAGAAUCCUUUCCAAAAAUUAGGCAAAGUUAUGAUGAUUAGGCUGUAAGAGGGAACAAGUCAUCCUGUCAUCUGGGGGUAUCCAUAUUUGUGAAACCAGUGCUGUGGAAGUAUUCCCGUGAGCAUCUUUGUUCUCCAGGGUCCCACAGGAGCCUGCCUGUGCCUGUCACUGAAGGACUCCUCAAGCAGAUGUCUCCAAAAAGUUAAACCUGGCUCAGCAGAGUUCAAAAAUUUUCAACUUGACUUGAAGUAAGCUCUGACUCUGGGGAUCUAUUUUGUUUUGCUCUGAAGAAAUGUGGGAAAGAAAACUACACUUUAUUUACAAGAGCUGAGUGUGCUUGUCAGGGUUGGAAAGCCUACCCGAACGUAUCAGAGCUGCAGUGAGUGGAAGAUAUUCCUGUUGCUGUGAGCUUGAAUAUAUGCAGCCUCCUCCAUAACAAGGAUCAGGGUUGUAGAGGGAAGGUGCUGUCUCUACUCACGUGGUAACCAUUUUCUCAGAGCUCAGCCUUGGAGCAGGAGGCUGGAGGGGUCGUAGAAGUAUUCACAAAGACACUUUCUCCCACUUGCCUCACUGGCAAGGGAGAGAUGUGUUCCUCCACAGUAAUUCAAGCCCCGAGCCUAAUUCAUGGUCAUGAAGAAACGAUGUAGAACAUAAAUCUCUCUGCCUUGCAAGUCAGACUACACAAGUGGAUAUGGGAGAGAUAACUCUCAGAUGUCUAGCAUUUGUGAAUACCAAAAGAACUCCCCACUGGGCAGCAUCUGCCAGUGAGAAAAAUCAGAGACAAUACCUACACUCGUUCUGACCUUCUGUUGUGUUUCUGCUGCUGAACUUAAUUUGAACCUUGAAGUCAUUUAAUAGCCAAAUACAUAAUUAACCAGCACUUUUCACAACAUGAGUGCAUAGCAUAACUUGCCCUGUUAUUUGGACAUCUCAUGGCUGAUGUUUGAUGUAUAAUAGCUGGUUUUAUCUAAUUACCCCUAGAAUUAGUGGUAUCAAGAGCAGCCAUGUGUACCCUUGGUGUGUCUGCAGGCAGGCUGCAGGAGGACCUGUGACACAAGGAGGAGUCUCAUAGUCACCACAACUCUUCACCUCGAAGAGCAGCAGAGGUAUUAACUCAUGGCAGUGAUUUUGCAAGGUUUAUGUCUACAAUCUAGGCUAACGUCGCUAAUUCGCUGUUUGCCACUCAACAGACAAAUUAAUGGUGUGAGUCAUUGUCAACUCCUACUAAAUAAACCAGUGAACAACAGAUGAAAGGCUCUGUAUCCAAGUUGUUUUCAUUAAUUGCACUGUGGGACAAGGGUAGAUUUAAUUUCAAGGACAGGAAUAUUAACCUCGAUUCCUUUUCCUUAAUUGAGUGUGGAGAAACAAGAAGCGUAAGCAAGGGAAGCAGAGAACAAGGACAUGGGUCAUUAGCACUGUCAUCUGGUCUCCCAGGCAGCAGUGCCUUGUAAAAAAUGUCAUUGCAGCAACCAGGAGGCAACGGCUUGUUUGGCAAGAUGUGCAGAGCAUAAGUAAAAAGAAUUUGCAGUGAUUGGAUUUUCACCAGUAUUUAGAUGCACAAGUCUCGGCAUAAGCUUACAACAAUAAACCAGUAACUGGAGCCCAUCUUGCAUCGUAGGGUAAAAACACCAGCAAAAGACUGCAGAACCAUCUCCUUGGGUGAUGCUGGCCCCGUGGGAAGCCUGUGAGGGGAAAAAGAUGUGGUAAUUAGGCCUACUUUUAUUACUGAUAUAUAACACUUGCAGAGCGGUUCUCACCUGAAGACUUCAAAUAACUUUCCAAAAAAAAAGAUUACAGGAAAAUUGAGGCCCAGUGGAGCACAGCUGACCUGUCAUUCCAAUAAUGUGGACUCCAGUGAAUCUGUGACUGAUUAGGUAUUAGUUAAGCAGUACAAUUCAGAAGAGGGGUCUUGGAUCUAGCCAAGCUAGAUCCAGGAAGCACCCUUUUAGUUAGCAAGGAUUGGGUCCUUUUUUUAAUUACUUUUAACUGCUGUUUGUAGCAAAGUUGAUUAAACUGAUGCAAGUGGAAAUAAACCAAUUACAAACCAGAUCAGCUGGUUGUUGUGAAAGUGGGAUAGCACAGUAUGAAUAGGUAAGUCUUUUAGAUUUGCAUAGCAGGCUGAUAUGGGAGAAUCUUAAUACGAGAGAAUGUGUCUCCUACAUAUAAAAAUUUAAUAAAUGACCAUGAAUUUUGGGCUUGCUACAAACUAGCUGACUGUGCCUAAUCUUGUCCAGGAUCAUAACUGUUAAUGACAUAAAAUAAAGUAAGAGAGUUUUCUGGUAAUGUUCUAAAGAACUUUAUAGUUCAAGGAGAGAGUAAAAUACUUAAAACACAUUGUUACUUGUUAAAAAUUCUGCAAAAUCAUUUAAAAAUUAUGGUAUCAUUUUUUAAUUGAUGUAAGAGGUUAACAGAGAUCUAUUUAUGUUAUACACUUCAUGAUCCUUGGUUGGUACAAGUGACUGUGCUUAAUUACAUUUAAAUGCUGUGCAGUUAGGAAAGAAUGUGCCUAAAGCUGUAUCUCUACAUGCAGUGCUCAUAAGAAGAAAGAAUUUCUCACCAAGCUCAAAUUCUUUCUUCUCUGCUAGUUAGAACCCAGGAAAUAUAAGAUCAUCUUCCUUUUAUGAAUCUAGCAGUGAUUGCAAAGCUGUAAAUAAAAAUGUAUUAAUUUAUCAUGGUGCCAGUGAGAGGGCAAACAAAAAUUAAUUAAAUGCAUGUUUCACUUAUAUCUGCAGGAAACCUUUAGGACUCUACAAAAUAGCAAACUGUGCAAGUCUCUUGACUUAGCUCAGUUACUCUUGGCUCCCUGGAGGCCCAUCAUUUUGAAAGAACUGUGGCCUACUUGGCUUGAAAAACCAGGACAAACUCUAUUUAUUUACUUUAAAAAAAAAAAAAAAUUAAUGCCAGAGUUUCUUGCAAUGAUCCAGAGAACAGGUGAAUUCAGGAGGGUACAGCCAGAACCCAGCACACUAGAGAAUGGCACUGUGCUGUGUUUACUCUCAUUGUACCAUUGGUGGGUUACUGAAGAUCUGAUUUGUCAUCUCUUGCUGGGAGAGUCACCUUUUUUAGUCUUGCAGAAAUUUCUAUACAUGCUUAGUUUGGGGUGCUGUUACCCCCUGCCUUGGGGCUCCUGCCGAGCCCUGGCCAGGGAGCCAGCCGAGGCCAAUGCCUGUCCUGGAUUGUGCCCAUGAUGUGCCCCACCAACACCCUAAAUCAUGGUUGAAAUGACCAGACAGUUUUUCAAUGAUCAAUGUCUACUUCAUGCUCAGCUCAGCUUUCUUUUUCCCAUAUUCUUCGUUGCUGCGGUUUAGCUGAGUACAGAGGACUUAACACUGUCAUCCUCUGGUUGUAAUCUCUGUUGUGAGACUGGAUAUGUGCACACAUGGGUUUUAAACUACCUAAUUAUUGACCUUAUUUGUCAAUAUAUAGAAAUAAAUAUAUGGUAGACACGUAUUAGCUUCUAAAUUCAAGUAAAGUGAAAAAGAAAAAUGUGCUAUUUCUUUUGUCAUUGAGCAUACUAGUGGACAAAAGCAACAUUUUUUCACUGUGUAAGUGGUCAUAAGUACAAGUAGUUUUUCUUCAAGAUUUCUCAGUGUCAGCUUUACAGUAGCCAAGACACAGCAUUUACGCUGGAUCUGCAAGAAACCGCAAUAAAUUUGGAAAAGUUAAUUAAACAAUACUGAGACUGCCAAGCAGGGGCUAAAUUACGCCAUGCUAUAGCCUGGGUUUCCUGGAGGUGACAGACUUCUGCUGAAGAAGGGCUGAGCAGCAGGAGAAAAUCUCUUUUUUUUUUUUUUUUUUUUGAGCUAUAUUGCUCAGAGGCCUUCAAACCUCUGUGGCUCUGCUCUGUAACUGGAUGAGACCCUGAAUAAUGACCCGGCAACAGAAAAAUGGUGCCAAAUAACCCUCAUAAAAUCUUUUGUGCAAGGCAAUUUUCCCCUUGCGUUAACAUGUCAGAGCACUGAGGACUUCAUACUUACUAAGACUUUUUGUCUUGCAAUUUCCCACAGAGCAGUGAAUUUUGUACUACUAAAAGCUGCGAUUAUGCAAAAAUGUGGCCUUUUUUUUUCUUCUCUUACCCAAAGAGGAAUAUCGCUGCUUUUGAAGAAGCAGCUUUGCUCUGCAGAGAGAACCCAGCAGGCCUGGUAACUUAAAAAUUUGAUUGCCAGUGAGCAAGUCUUCAGUUGUGUGUACGUUUCAUUUCAACACAGUGGCUUGGUAACCUUCAUGACCUAAUUAAAAUACACUAAGUAGUCAGCUGGUGGUGCUGAAAGCUGUUUUACAGCCUGGAAAUGGGAAUUGCGGUGGUUUCCUCCUUAUGGUCCAGAAUUGUUGUGAAGGGACAUCACAUGGAGCCUAUUCAAUGCACAAAGCCUCUCUAAUGGGUGCAGAAUGAUUUUGGGGUUUUUUUGUGUCUGAAAUCAGCGAUUGUUAGUAAUGUAAGAGCGAAGAAAAUGUACUCUUGAGUAGAGGCUGGGAUUUGCAGCUACUACAAAGAGCCUACUUAAAAUCUAGGCUGACCUUGAUUUCAGCUGGGCAGGCUUGGACUCAAGAAAAGAAGUAGGAUUAUAAGAGUUAAGAAGUAAUCUCAGAAGUGUCUGAAAUUGAUCUUUAUUUAUUGUAAUAAACACCUUGGAGGUUACUUCUGCAUUAAAAUUUUCUGCAUUAAAA
Empidonax traillii (willow flycatcher) is the source of this 5742-nucleotide long non-coding RNA. RefSeq lists it as uncharacterized. NCBI's taxonomy places the organism in Eukaryota, Metazoa, Chordata, Aves, Passeriformes, Tyrannidae. The record is from RefSeq and is a predicted model, not a curated record. The transcript is spliced from 2 exons.